CAGAUACAGUGAUGAUGGCAUAGUUCAGCAGAAUAUCUUGUGAUGAACGGUUCUGUCUUUCGCUCCUAUCUGAUGUAUCUA
Molecule: small nucleolar RNA, 81 nt
Filed under: Mesitornis unicolor (brown roatelo)
Lineage: Eukaryota; Metazoa; Chordata; Aves; Mesitornithiformes; Mesitornithidae
Description: Small nucleolar RNA snR60/Z15/Z230/Z193/J17
Rfam family: Small nucleolar RNA snR60/Z15/Z230/Z193/J17
About the family: The members of this family belong to the C/D class of snoRNAs which contain the C (UGAUGA) and D (CUGA) box motifs. Most of the members of the box C/D family function in directing site-specific 2'-O-methylation of substrate RNAs. The family includes the yeast snoRNA snR60 (also known as Z15) and the corresponding human guide snoRNA U80 (SNORD80).
Source: Rfam by way of RNAcentral